CCUACGGGUGGCAGCAGUGAGGAAUAUUGGUCAAUGGGCGCGAGCCUGAACCAGCCAAGUAGCGUGAAGGAUGACUGCCCUACGGGUUGUAAACUUCUUUUAUAAAGGAAUAAAGUGAGGCACGUGUGCCUUUAUGUCUGUACUUUAUGAAUAAGGAUCGGCUAACUCCGUGCCAGCAGCCGCGGUAAUACGGAGGAUCCGAGCGUUAUCCGGAUUUAUGGGGUUUAAAGGGAGCGUAGAUGGGUUGUUAAGUCAGUUGUGAAAGGUUGCGGCUCAACCGUAAAAUUGCAAUUGAUACUGGCAGCAUGGAGUACAGGUGAGGUAGGUGGAAUUCGUGGUGUAGCGGUGAAAUGCUUAGAUAUCACGAAGAACUCCGAUUGCGAAGGCAGCUUACUAAACUGCCACUGACAUUGAUGCUCGAAAGUGUGGGUAGCAAACAGGAUUAGAUACCCCAGUAGUC
RNAcentral lists this ribosomal RNA (460 nucleotides) under uncultured bacterium. RNAcentral describes it as "partial 16S ribosomal RNA". It matches the Rfam family "Bacterial small subunit ribosomal RNA", at positions 338 to 795 of the family's 1533-position model. The record is from RNAcentral.